UUUUAGCAUAAAUAUUUUUGUUCUCAUUUAAAAAAUACCUGGCCACUUGAGCGAUGUCAUUGGGUUCGUGCUCUGUCAUCUUAUAGGUACCUACU
This is a long non-coding RNA of Maniola jurtina (meadow brown), 95 nucleotides long. RefSeq lists it as uncharacterized. NCBI's taxonomy places the organism in Eukaryota, Metazoa, Arthropoda, Insecta, Lepidoptera, Nymphalidae. The record is from RefSeq and is a predicted model, not a curated record. The transcript is spliced from 3 exons.